GAGAAAGUGGCGUGUGAAAAGUGCCGUGGGAGCCAUGGGCCAGUGGCAGCUUGAAGUAGGAGAGCCAGCGCCCCUAGGAGCAGGGAACCUGGAGCCUGAACUCAUCAAGGAAAGCAAUGCCAAUCCUAUCUUCAUGCGCAAGGACACCAAGAUGAGUUUCCAGUGGCGGAUUCGAAACCUCCCCUAUCCUAAGGAUGUCUAUAGUGUCUGUGUGGACCAGAAGGAGCGCUGCAUCAUUGUCAGAACAACCAACAAGAAAUAGACACCAGCUACCUCUGGAUGACGCCUUGCUGAGCUUUGCCCAUGCCAACUGCACCCUGAUCAUCUCUGUAAGAUUCACCCAGACUUCUUGGACACUGCAUCAGGGAGAGUCUUCCUCUUUCCCUGCCUACUUCCCAUCCCAUAAGAGUCCUCGGUUCUAGCCCCAAGCCCUAGGUACCAGAAGCCAAAGGAGGUUGUGGUGGCCGAGUCCGAGCUACAGAAGGAACUAAAGAAGAUAAAGACAGCCCACAGCAACGAUGGGGACUGCAAGACCCAGUAGUUGGCCCCUGAGCCUUAUACCUCCAGCACAGGGGGUGCCGUGAGACUUCAAGGCUUGGCCCUUCUUGACCACGGCAGCCUCCUAUCUUCUAGGAGCUAUCAAGGGUCUCUAAGAACUGGGCAUGGGGCACUCCUAGCCAGUGAGUCAUGGUCAUAUUUCCUGAGUAAAGUCAUUCUGAGUUACUUACUGC
RNAcentral lists this small RNA (731 nucleotides) under Pongo abelii (Sumatran orangutan). RNAcentral describes it as "processed transcript". The record is from RNAcentral. Lineage: Eukaryota; Metazoa; Chordata; Mammalia; Primates; Hominidae.